RNAcentral lists this ribosomal RNA (467 nucleotides) under uncultured bacterium. Its description in RNAcentral is "partial 16S ribosomal RNA". It matches the Rfam family "Bacterial small subunit ribosomal RNA", at positions 29 to 507 of the family's 1533-position model. The record is from RNAcentral.
ACGAACGCUGGCGGCGUGCUUAACACAUGCCAGUCGAACGGAAAGGCCCUGCUUUUGUGGGGUGCUCGAGUGGCGAACGGGUGAGUAACACGUGAGUAACCUGCCCUUGACUUUGGGAUAACUUCAGGAAGCUGGGGCUAAUACCGGAUAGGAGCUCCUGCUGCAUGGUGGGGGUUGGAAAGUUUCGGCGGUUGGGGAUGGACUCGCGGCUUAUCAGCUUGUUGGUGGGGUAGUGGCUUACCAAGGCUUUGACGGGUAGCCGGCCUGAGAGGGUGACCGGCCACAUUGGGACUGAGAUACGGCCCAGACUCCUACGGGAGGCAGCAGUGGGGAAUAUUGCACAAUGGGCGGAAGCCUGAUGCAGCAACGCCGCGUGCGGGAUGACGGCCUUCGGGUUGUAAACCGCUUUCGCCUGUGACGAAGCGUGAGUGACGGUAAUGGGUAAAGAAGCACCGGCUAACUACGUG